GCUUCCUCAUCUGCAAAGAGAACAGGAGAUCCACAGCCGUGGAUAUGGUUCUGUCUGGUGCACAUCCUUGGACAGUAAGAUCAAGGCAUAGAGAAGGGAUUCGAUCGGGAAGCGAGGUGAGGAGUUGAUCCAGCACAAAAAUAAGCCAGAAAAGGAAAAAGAAGAAGAGAAUCGGAGAGAGAUUAGGAGGUGAGGGGCAAAG
Molecule: long non-coding RNA, 202 nt
Filed under: Elaeis guineensis (African oil palm)
Lineage: Eukaryota; Viridiplantae; Streptophyta; Magnoliopsida; Arecales; Arecaceae
Description: long non-coding RNA (EGUI_LNC022917)
Source: RNAcentral